Molecule: ribosomal RNA, 516 nt
Filed under: uncultured Sphingobacterium sp.
Lineage: Bacteria; Pseudomonadati; Bacteroidota; Sphingobacteriia; Sphingobacteriales; Sphingobacteriaceae
Description: bacterial SSU rRNA
Rfam family: Bacterial small subunit ribosomal RNA
Source: RNAcentral
GAGUUUGAUCAUGGCUCAGGAUGAAUGCUAGCGGGAGGCUUAACACAUGCAAGUCGAGGGAUAGUUUCAGCAAUGGGACGAAAACCGGCGCACGGGUGAGUAACGCGUAUGCAACCUGCCCUUUACUGGGGGAUAGCCCGUCGAAAGGCGGAUUAAUACCCCAUAACAUCAAUUUCCUGCAUGGGGAAUUGAUUAAAGCUUUUGUGGUAAAGGAUGGGCAUGCGUGACAUUAGCUUGUUGGUAGGGUAACGGCCUACCAAGGCUACGAUGUCUAGGGGUUCUGAGAGGAAGGUCCCCCACACUGGUACUGAGACACGGACCAGACUCCUACGGGAGGCAGCAGUGAGGAAUAUUGGUCAAUGGGCGAGAGCCUGAACCAGCCAUCCCGCGUGCAGGAAGAAGGCCCUAUGGGUUGUAAACUGCUUUUGUGCAUGAAGAACACCCCCGACGCGUUCGGGGGCUGACGGUAAUGCGUGAAUAAGCACCGGCUAACUCCGUGCCAGCCGCCGCCGUAAU